Molecule: long non-coding RNA, 2121 nt
Organism: Ictalurus punctatus (channel catfish)
Lineage: Eukaryota; Metazoa; Chordata; Actinopteri; Siluriformes; Ictaluridae
Source: Ensembl
UGUUACUAUAGAAACGAUGACAUCGCCAUACCAUUUAAUGCUGGGGAAGGUACACGAAGCGACGCCAUAACGAGUCCCUGUUGAACGAGGUGUUACUAUGGAAACGAUAACCGCGUCAGAACAAACACAUGACCGUAAACCUGUGAUUUUCAUCAUUAGAGCCGCUGUUAUUUAAAAAUGAAAUGAUACAAAAAUCGACCAAUCAGAAGCGAGAAUUCAACACCACUGUGGUAUAACUUUGUGUAAGCAUGUUGCGUUAAACCGUUUACAGCAUCGUUACACAUGUACACACUUUUAUGCGACUCAUGAAGCGAGAUCUCAACUCGUUCUUUCUUUCUUUCUUUCCUCAGUCACAGAUAAGAUCUCUCUCUCUCUCUCUCUCACUCUCACUCUCUCUCUGAGAGACAUUAAGGCUGUAAGCUAAGGGAGGAGAUGAAGAAUAUCAUGUACUCUUGAGCUCGAUGUGUUUUUCUCGCUCCCUCCCUCCUGCCCAUCAGACGGGUAACAAAUGCAGCAGUGCCGCCAUAAAGAAUAAAGAGAGGAGGAGGAGACGAGGCCGAGAGGGCAACAUUCGUCUGACGGCGACCUCAGACGACGUGGGGAAGAGCUUAAGCUCUCUCCUGGACUCUCCGUCUGUCUCGGUCUCGAAGCCGACAGAAAGAGAGGAGGAGAUGAGCUGGAUUUGGGGUUUUUGUGAUACACGGAUGUCGUAUCAUCAGAUAAUAAAGUGUAUGGCAGAGUCUGCUAAGUGAAUUUCGUUAAAGUUAUGUUUCAUGAAAGCUUGAAAGAGAGAAAAAAAAAACCCAGUUUGAUCUCAAGCUACAAAAAAAAAAAAUCAUGAAUUUCUGAAUCAUAUUUGUUAACUGAAGUUCUCGAAUCUCGAUUCUGAUUGGCCGGAAAGUGUUGAUUCAUGUCCUAGAAGAGCAGCUCUGACACUAGUUCUGGCUGUAGUGCAAACCCCAGAUUUAUAAGAAUGUACUCUUUAAUACCUUAUCGUUUCUAUAGUAACAGCUUACAUCUAAUGAACAGAUUUAAAAACGUGAUGUUGUUCAACAGGCGGGGAAACAGAGUCUAAUCAUCAAUGGUGAAGUUUUCUGUUCAUGGAAGGAGUCUCCAGUGUCAGAGGUUGGACUACUGCAACGGUCAUGCUUACUGCUCUCAAUAAAAAGAACAUUAAAAAAAAUAAAAAAAAUGAACGCAGGUAGAAUGCUCACCAAGACAAAGAAAAUUCCCUGCUAGCCAAGGGGUGGAAACAACUCGAGUAACUGUACUUCGUUAAUACACGUAAGUAUUAUUUUUGCAAUAUUUAUACUGUCAUUGUGUGUUAUUGAUAUUGAAUACAUGUCCAAAAAAAACAUGUUACCAAUUUUGAAGGACGUCAUUCAUCCACCAAUGGCAGUACACUAUACAUGAGUAGAACUUGCUCUGGCACGGUUUAUUGACAUUUCAGUUUAAUGCAUCCAGUCAAGUUAUCAAUCAAAUCUCAUGCUCCACAAUGUAUUUAGUUCUAUAGCUAUUCAUGUUUGUCUGAAGAUGGAAAAUCCACUGGACUGCAUUGUGGAACUUGAGCAUGAGCGGCCCUGACCCUGUACCUCAGUAAAAUAUUUCAAUAUGCUGGAGAAAUAAGCAAAGACUCAUAUAUAAAAACACUUCCCUAGAUGGCAUGAACUCUGUCUAAUUUGGAAAAAAAAAAAAGGUUCAAGUCUUGCUAGCUAGUGUUGCUAAUGUGAACUGCCUAUUCUUAACCAAGUUUGCCUGAGUGCUGUGCUAAUGUCAAGUGAGACUAGCAUAGGUUACAUUGGCUAACAUAACUAGCUAGGAAAAAUGGCAAGUUAGACACUAGCUAAUGGUAAAUAUUGGUCAUUCGCAAACGUUGUAGCAUUAGUCAUUCCUAUAUACUAGUAGACUUUUUAAUUAGAUUUCACAUGAAAACGCAUGCCGAUAACUUAACACAGACAACAUCCAAGCUAAACUCAAACUCACUGCAAAUCCAACUGUAUUAUGGUCUGAUGAGACCAAUUUCAAACGUUUUAGCGACUCCAUAAUUCCAAAACAUGUGGUUGGUGCAAGAAAAAGCACAAAACCUAACCCAUGGUGAAGCACGGUGGUGGCAGCGUUGUG